RNAcentral lists this ribosomal RNA (253 nucleotides) under uncultured bacterium. Its description in RNAcentral is "partial 16S ribosomal RNA". It matches the Rfam family "Bacterial small subunit ribosomal RNA", at positions 524 to 776 of the family's 1533-position model. The record is from RNAcentral.
UACGUAGGUGACAAGCGUUGUCCGGAUUUACUGGGCGUAAAGAGCGCGCAGGCGGUCGAUCAAGUCGAGUGUGAAAGCCCCCGGCUCAACUGGGGAGGGUCAUUCGAAACUGGUCGACUCGAAGGCAGGAGAGGGUAGUGGAAUUCCCGGUGUAGUGGUGAAAUGCGCAGAUAUCGGGAGGAACACCAAUGGCGAAGGCAGCUCGCUGGGACGGUACUGACGCUGAGACGCGAAAGCGUGGGGAGCAAACAGG